RNAcentral lists this ribosomal RNA (987 nucleotides) under Fusarium falciforme. Its description in RNAcentral is "partial large subunit ribosomal RNA". It matches the Rfam family "Eukaryotic large subunit ribosomal RNA", at positions 76 to 1094 of the family's 3401-position model. Lineage: Eukaryota; Fungi; Ascomycota; Sordariomycetes; Hypocreales; Nectriaceae. The record is from RNAcentral.
UGCCCCAGUAACGGCGAGUGAAGCGGCAACAGCUCAAAUUUGAAAUCUGGCUCUCGGGCCCGAGUUGUAAUUUGUAGAGGAUGCUUUUGGUGAGGUGCCUUCCGAGUUCCCUGGAACGGGACGCCAUAGAGGGUGAGAGCCCCGUCUGGUUGGACACCGAUCCUCUGUAAAGCUCCUUCGACGAGUCGAGUAGUUUGGGAAUGCUGCUCUAAAUGGGAGGUAUAUGUCUUCUAAAGCUAAAUACCGGCCAGAGACCGAUAGCGCACAAGUAGAGUGAUCGAAAGAUGAAAAGAACUUUGAAAAGAGAGUUAAAAAGUACGUGAAAUUGUUGAAAGGGAAGCGCUUGUGACCAGACUUGGGCUUGGUUGAUCAUCCGGGGUUCUCCCCGGUGCACUCUUCCGGCUCAGGCCAGCAUCAGUUCGCCCUGGGGGAUAAAGGCUUCGGGAAUGUGGCUCUCUCCGGGGAGUGUUAUAGCCCGCUGCGUAAUACCCUGUGGCGGACUGAGGUUCGCGCAUUCGCAAGGAUGCUGGCGUAAUGGUCAUCAGUGACCCGUCUUGAAACACGGACCAAGGAGUCGUCUUCGUAUGCGAGUGUUCGGGUGUCAAACCCCUACGCGAAAUGAAAGUGAACGCAGGUGAGAGCUUCGGCGCAUCAUCGACCGAUCCUGAUGUUAUCGGAUGGAUUUGAGUAAGAGCAUACGGGGCCGGACCCGAAAGAAGGUGAACUAUGCCUGUGUAGGGUGAAGCCAGAGGAAACUCUGGUGGAGGCUCGCAGCGGUUCUGACGUGCAAAUCGAUCGUCAAACAUGGGCAUGGGGGCGAAAGACUAAUCGAACCUUCUAGUAGCUGGUUUCCGCCGAAGUUUCCCUCAGGAUAGCAGUGUUGAACUCAGUUUUAUGAGGUAAAGCGAAUGAUUAGGGACUCGGGGGCGCUAUUUAGCCUUCAUCCAUUCUCAAACUUUAAAUAUGUAAGAAGCCCUUGUUGCUUAA